AAAACAUAUAGAUAUCAAGUUUUUUUAAUCUGCCAUUCGGUUGGAUAAGAUAAGAUUGUGCCAUGGCUUUGCCGGUUGACAACUGCAACCAAACAUUCUAUCAUCAUAUCUCUGUUUCCGAACGUUGUAAGGUGUAGAAUAUGGCGACGAAAAGCGGAAGAAAAGAAAUCUAUCAUAUCUUUUUGCUGAGCUUGCUUCGCAAGGCUUACAUCAAUAUAGAUUAGGCAAUACUCCUCGAAAGGAUCCAGACAAUUUCGAAGGUACGUGGCCGUUGAACGAACAUUUUGACAGGUUUAAUUCUUGAUGACUAAUUUUCCUUUAUUACAAAUAAUAUGCGAUAUCUAAUCACUGAAAAUUCUGCUUUUUAUUUUAACUGCUUUAAAAGUAAAUAAAAACUUCGUUGCAUUUCAUUCCAUGAAAGAAUUGAACCCAUAGCCGCUAAAUUUGUAAUUAUAACGACCCAAAACAUGCUUAAAAUUCUCAACGUAUUCCGAAAAAUUGUGAAAUUGGACGAAACCGAAGAAGGAAAGCUUGGCAGUGGUAGUUAUGGAAUCGUCUGUAACGGAAUUUACGAAAAAAAGGUGGUAGCAGUCAAGAAAAUAUUGAAAGAACAUGGUGAUCGUGAAAAAAUUGCCAAAACUCGAAGAGAAAUGGAAGAACAUAAAGGCCUUGAUCAUGAAAAUGUACUGAGGUUACUUUACGUUGAGGAUACGACUAACAAAGACUUUACAUAUCUCGUUCUGGAACUGUGCGCUGGAACAUUGACGGACUAUUGCGGAAGCAAAUCUAAAGGACCAAUUUUGCCACCGGAUGAGCUGGUCCUUUACCAAAUCGCCAACGGGUUGAAUUACAUUCAUUCAAGAGAUUUGGUGCACCACGAUGUGAAGCCAGAUAACAUCCUCAUCUCAUCAAUGUCAACACCUGUCAAAAUGAAGUCAUCCGAUUACGGAUUUGUUUAAAAAGUGAGUGCUCAAAAAACUUUUUCGCAGAGCGGAUUAAAAGGAACUUUGAACUGGAUGGCACCUGAAAUGUUGGAAAUUCUAAAUAGUGCCACUGAUGAAACGGAAGUACUGCCACGUGGAACAAUUGAAAGUGAUACAUUUUCAGCUGGAUGUGUCUUUUUCUAUUUUGUGUCUCGCGGCUUGCAUCCAUUCGGCAGUCCUGUUCUCGUUCCCAGCAAUAUCGUGCAAAACAAUCCCAUGCAGUUCGACAGCUACAAACAAAGGAAAUGGAACGCAGUUGGCUGCUGGCUGCACAAGUGGUGACGUCUAAUAUGUCUGGAGUUAUCCCGGUGGUGAGCUUCUUUUUCAAACGGAACAACAUUUGCAGCUGAUCAAGCACCUUGAAUGGAAUCCAAUCAAACAUGACUGGCUGGCUACAUCCACUUUCUUGGUUGCCCGCGGAUCAUUAGUGGUUCCAGCCGGUACGUUUGGCUUGCUACAUAGGCCUACGUGGCGUGCCAUGCUAUUCGUCAAUACUAAACUAACAUCAUCGCCUUAACUGACGAAAUCCUUGAGUUGAGUGAGAAACUUUCUUUAAAUGUAUUCUUUUUUCUGUGUUGUUGCUGGAAGAGUUUUCCAGUUGCUCGGUUUUUCUUUUACAAAUAACGAAAAUAUCCAGUAUUUUUGUUUAAAUAAUUAAUUCAUUUGGAUUUAAGAAUGGGUACAAUGGAAAACCAAGUGUGCUUGAAUUCGUCGUCAAGCCAAUCAGUGAAAAAAUUUUACUGCACAAGUGAUGGCAAGGGAUACAUCAUGUGUGUAAAGUGGAUAUCUGAAAAUCAGAUCGCUCUAGCGCCAGACCGUGGUGGAAUUGAGGUUUAGGACAUUCACGAAAUGCAAUCAAAGUUCAGUGCGAAAAUUGUUCGAAAAUACAAAGAAAACCUGAGUUUUUCUUUGAAAUUUAAAAAAAUAUUAAUUCUAAUUCAUUUGCUCUUUUACUUGUUGCAGCAUUGCGUAACCGAUUUGCACUGGAAUGAAAAUACGAAAUAUUUGGCCUCUUGUAUGUCAUCCAAUGGCAUUAAGAUUUGGUCAACAGACAGCGAAGAGCCCGUUCACAGCAACAAUUCGUGGAAACAUUCAGGAGUUCAUUAUUUCACUUGUUGUCCAAACUUGAAACCGAGAGAAGACAUCGAAGCUGAAAGGAAAUCGCCCAACAACUUCGUUUUUGCUUGUGCCCUGCUAUAUGGAGAGAUUUUAAUUUGGAAUCCUUUGGAAAAGGAGCAAGAAAACCGGAUUCUUCGUCCUCAUACGCAUCGAGGAUGGGUUAACGCUUUUUGGCUUUCCUUUUCACCUGACGGGCGGUUUCUUUCUUCUUCAUCAGACUAUUCCAAUUAUAUAAUAAUCCUAUGGUCGACUGAAACAUGGACGCCCACUUUCACCAUUCGAGCUCCAUACGGUUUUUUUCACCGUCCUUCGUGGUGGUCCGGGGAUGCUAAUGAAUAUAAAAUAGCAUGUCCCAGGGACAAUCAGCUCCACUUGAUUGAAUACACCGUCAGCAACGAACCAAGCUAACGCCAUAAAUAGUUUCUUACGUAAAUAUUGUUUGACUCGCAAUUUAAAAAGCCGCAUACAAAAAACCACUUCAAACUACUUGUCAAUAAACUGAAAAUGAAAUGCAGCCGACAUUGCUAUUCCUUUUUGUUUUCGGAAAAGAUGCUUAGCAACUCAUCAGUAGACACAUUUUAUGCCUCUGUCUCCCAAAAGGGAGGUACAUUUUCCCUUUUUGUGUUAUUGGAGUAUCCGUUUUGAAUUUUUCAACAGUUAAAACAUAAUAGCUGGAUAGAAAAAAACUUGUUUAGAAACUAAUCUGGUCUAGGGUAGAAACUGCAUUUUGUUGCUUCCUCCCUCUUCGUGUUUGUUUCACGAACGAGACGAAACGCAAAACAGUUUAACAAUUCUGCCACUAGUGACAGGUCGGACAAUGCUGCGUCACUGCUUUUAAAUCCGAAUGAGACUAAACCUACAGACGUUUGUUAGUCAAGUUCGUUCUCUGGUUACAAUCAGCACGUCGUCUGUUUCUCGCAAACUUCGAGUUGAGACUAUCACGUUCAGGCGUUCGAUUCAUUUGAUUGUGUGGCGUUAUAAAGGAUUUGCGUCUGGAUAUCUGUGUUUACAUUAUUAUUAUACUUACCAUUCUACUGUAUGCAUUAUACAAAUAAUUUUAUCUACCUAGAUUUACGGCAUCAAAGCUUAUUACCUCGUCUGUCGUACAACUAAGUCACUUCCUUUAGCUUUUAUACCUAAUUUGCCUUUCAAAGUUUACAGUUAAUUAAAUAUAAUAAUAAUAAUAAUGUAAAGUCUGUUGCUCGACUAUCUUUUUUAUAGCUAGGCUACUACUCCAGCUUCAGCGGUCACUUUGUCUUCUUUCAGUUUAACCGAAGAUUAACUAUAGUCUAAUGCUACAUUUUUUUCGUUUCAAUAUUUGGCUCCUUCUUCCUUGGGAAAUGCAUGCGUGAUCGUCGACGUGAAAAAAAAUCAUUCGAAGGAUUAUUUGCAGUUAAAGAUAUGACCAACUUUACAAUUGUAUAGGCUACAUGUUGUGAAUGGAAGGUUGUACAUGUCGCCAGCAUGCAACAGUGGUCAAUCAAUAACGCAAACAUUAGUAAAAAUGUUUCAAUCAUUUAUUCAUCAUUUCUAUUCGCAAACGGAAAAUGUUUCAUAUGAACUAUGAUCGUUAAUCACGUCUCAUUUGCAACAGGUGAAACGGACGUCAUUCAAGGCCGUGUUGUCGUAGUGUCCAAUUCCUCCAUCGUACGGCUGGACACGAGUUUCCAUUCCGCAAAUGCCAAUUUCACAUUCUUCGCUGUACUGGCCCCAAUCGCCAUGAGUGUUGCCUAGGCCGUUAAUUUCUCCGCCGUUAGAACAUCUAAAACGGAUGUCAUUGGCUGCAGUGUUGUCCGCCUCACUACCAUUAGGACUCACUCGCAACUGGAAACUCUUCAUGUAGCCACCAAAAGGGCACGUCUGAACCGCGUAAUAAUCUCCAGAACUGCAUGCAAACGUUCAGGAUGAACCAUGAAAAUAAUUUGUAAAAGAUUACAUCGAUAAUUCUGUGAUCUCUAUUUGUAGCUUUUACAAUCCAAUUGAGGACGUCAAAUUGGUUACGAAUUCAUCGUUGCAAAACAGAACGAUGGUGUUGAGCGCCGUGUCGUCAAAUCGUGGUGUGGCGAGCUCGUUUCGGGUCUGGUAACUGACGACUCUCGAUCCACCCGGGCAGUGCUUUAGCGGUCCCCACUCACCUUCCGUUCCACCGUUAGUUACUGUAAUAACUUCAAUUGGCGGUCUAGUGGUACUGGGUGGUAGCGUUGGUAUGAUGGUCUCUUCUGUUUGACAAUUGACACCGAUGGCUACGGACAGCAGAUAGAAGUUUACCACGAGUUUAAACAUCUUGACUAAUUGUGGUGAGAGUAGAAAAUAUACUGCGCUGCUGAAUUUCA
Molecule: RNA transcript, 4435 nt
Organism: Daphnia magna
Lineage: Eukaryota; Metazoa; Arthropoda; Branchiopoda; Diplostraca; Daphniidae
Exons: 10
Source: RefSeq, a predicted model, not a curated record